This 259-nucleotide unclassified non-coding RNA is filed under the name Hevea brasiliensis (rubber tree). The record is from RNAcentral. Lineage: Eukaryota; Viridiplantae; Streptophyta; Magnoliopsida; Malpighiales; Euphorbiaceae.
AUGGUCUCGGUGGCGGUGAUCUGAAAUCACCUCUGGCUCCAUAUCGCUCGAUUUCACCAUGGGCACUGCCGCCGCCGCCGCCGCCGCCGGCGGCACUGCCGCCUUUCCGGUCAAAUAGCAUCAGUUCAAGUCUUUGAUCUAAAUACAUAGCAUAAGUCCUAACAAACGCAGAAUGAUCCCAAGAACUGGAGUGCGCUUCAUCUCUAAAAUCGGACAUGUUCAAAAGUCUAGUUCCUCUCCUCGUAGCAUACAAAAUCCC